GUGGUAUGCAAUGUUCCCUCUAAGCUGCGCGCGUGCGCAAUCGCGCACUGCCCGCACAUUCUCAGCGCACAAGAAAAUCUAUCCAGCGCAUAAACAACAUCAACAUAACGUAUUAAUUCAUAUCUAAUAUUAGACCUAAUCUAAUCUAAUUAAUUCGCCCAAUAAUAUUGUUUUUUUGUUUCUCACUCAGUGAGUGACAGGUGUCCAGCCAAUGAUACGAUACGGUUCACUUACGGUACGAAGCCAAUCAUGGCAUUGACGGUGCUUGCGUCUGGGCCCUGCCUAUAUGCGCCGUGCAGGUUAGCUAGCAGGUUAAUAGAUGCUAAUACAAACCCCGCAUCAUGGCGAAACGAACAGGCAGCGACACAUCCACUCAGCAAGCCACAGUAAAAAAGAAAUGCAGUUCUUUUAAGAUGGAAUGGCUGUCGGAGUAUGUGCAAAUUGAAGAAAAAGCGGUGAAAUUGGGUGAGAUUUUUUCUUUUUCAAGUGAGAAAGGUCUACUCUGCAAAACAUGCAGCGAUGCCAAAGUAGCAAGUGAGUUUUCAGAGGGAAAAAUGUGAUCUCACAGCUUGUGGAUAUUUGUGCUACAUUUCAAGCUUCCAGUGCCGACUGUGAAAGAGGAUUUAGUUUAAUGAAUCAUAUCAAAACAAAAUCCAGAAAUCGUCUUGAAGUGACACAUUUGGACCAGCUGAUGCGCAUAAAGUCAAAGCAAGAAGCAGACGAAGCCAUCAACCUGGACAAAGUGUACAACUAUUGGAGAAGUGAGAAGGACAGACGUGAAAAAUAAGAACAGGACCCUCAGCCAGGCAAAGCAGGACUCUUCCCAUGGCCAAAGCAGGACUCUCACAUACUGUAUAACAUCUACACAUCCCAUUUUUCAGAUUUUUGUCUUUUUUUAAGUGGACCAAAUUACUUAUUUAAAAAUAAAGCGUGCAUAUCUAAUGUUG
Long non-coding RNA from Anguilla rostrata (American eel), 947 nucleotides. RefSeq lists it as uncharacterized. Lineage: Eukaryota; Metazoa; Chordata; Actinopteri; Anguilliformes; Anguillidae. The record is from RefSeq and is a predicted model, not a curated record. The transcript has 2 exons.